CAGUAGCCGCGGUAAUACGUAGGGGGCAAGCGUUGUCCGGAAUCAUUGGGCGUAAAGCGCGUGUAGGCGGCUCGAUAAGUCUGCUGUGAAAGUCCAGGGCUCAACCCUGGGAUGCCGGUGGAUACUGUCGAGCUCGAGUCCGGAAGAGGCGAGUGGAAUUCCUGGUGUAGCGGUGAAAUGCGCAGAUAUCAGGAGGAACACCAAUGGCGAAGGCAGCUCGCUGGGACGUGACUGACGCUGAGACGCGAAAGCGUGGGGAGCAAACAGGAUUAGAUACCCCAGUAGUCCCUGUCUCUUAUAC
RNAcentral lists this ribosomal RNA (301 nucleotides) under uncultured bacterium. RNAcentral describes it as "partial 16S ribosomal RNA". It matches the Rfam family "Bacterial small subunit ribosomal RNA", at positions 509 to 807 of the family's 1533-position model. The record is from RNAcentral.